CGGAGAUAACAAACCCGUAGCCCCACCACUGAGCCAACGGAACGUACCCGGCGCCGUAGAAUACAGGAGCAGAACCAAUCCCGUAGUGGGUGAUGCCGCCCAUGAGGUUCGAGAGGAAUGAGAGAACCAUGGCGGCAAAGAGCGAGGGGGUGCCCAGGGCCUUCGCCACUGACAGGAAUGCAGCAAACAUUGCUCCAAUGUGUGCAGCACCACUUGCAAAGAAAUAGUGGGAGUAGAAGUACAGCAGCACCAAGACGCUGAACGAAAGUUGCCAGGACAAACCAAGGCCUCCAACAAACUGCGAGAAACAGAAAGACAUGGUCAAUAUAGGAGAAAUUAGUAAACAGGAAAAACGCAUUCCUUUCCAUGACGUUGAUGUCAGAACUGGGUUAACCAAAGAAUAAACACAUUGGAAUAUCAGGCCCAUAAAUGCCAUUGAACUUCUAGGGAAAAAAAGCUGGGCAUUGAACUACAUGCCUAGAUUAUUUUUAUUAUUGUCAUGCUGAUGGAUAUAUGAGCCUGCCAUUCAUACUCAAAUGUUAGAAAGAAUCAAGAUAAUUAUUUCUACUUCUGGUCUAACAAACGAAAAAAAUCUUUAUAUCUUAACUACCUACUAUCUAGCCUAUCCUUCAUUGUGGACAGUGCUCCAUUUCAAGGGUGAGCAGAUAAAUGGCACAAUAAAUAGCUCCUAGAUCAGGGUCAAGAUAUGCAUGGUUAAUGUCAUUAUGUAUCAGAAUUGAAUACAAUGUGCAACUUGGUGGAACCUACAAACAUGACAAACAAUGCCAGCAAAUGCAAUGUUUGGUGGCAUCAAAGUUCAGCACCAUGCCAUAUUGAAAUGGAGAAUAUCCACCAUGCUCAAUAUCAAUUACAGUUGGUCAGCACUGUAGUAAUUUGUAUGCUGUUCGAACUUCUGAAUUGUGGUGUGAAGAGAAAGUUACGGGAGGAAGAGUCAGUGUACCUUCACAACAGUCUCACUGAACCAAGCAAUCAGCCCAUAUUUGUUGAGGUAGCCAGCCAUUGCGAUAAGUGCGGCAAACCAUGUAAGGGUAUCCCAUGCCACAGACUCCGCCAAACACUCUUUCCAUGUGACAACACCUGUGAUUAGGAGCACACCUAGGCCAAGAAUUGCUGCAGACACUGCAUCCACACUUAUCAUUCCCCCAAAGAUCCAAAGACCGACCUG
RNAcentral lists this long non-coding RNA (1186 nucleotides) under Setaria italica (foxtail millet). RNAcentral describes it as "long non-coding RNA (SITA_LNC002535)". The record is from RNAcentral. Lineage: Eukaryota; Viridiplantae; Streptophyta; Magnoliopsida; Poales; Poaceae.